UCUUUUUGUUUUUUAUAUAAGGUCAGACCUGCCCAAUGAAUUUUAAAUGGCCGCAGUACUUUAACUGUGCAAAGGUAGCAUAAUAAUUUGUUUUUUAAUUGGAAACUAGUAUGAAUGGUCAUACGAGGGAUUGACUUUCUUUAUCUUACUUAAAUUAAUUUUAUUUUUCUGUGAAAAAGCAGAGAUUUCAUUAGUAGACGAUAAGACCCUUUAAAACUUUAUUCAUUAUAGAAGUAUAAUUUUAUUAGGUUUUAAUAGUGUACUUUUUUAAUGAGUUUUGUUGGGGCGACAGGUAAAUUUAUUUAACUUUAUUUUUGUUUUUCACUAAUUAGUGUUUAUUUGAUCCAGAUUUAGUUUUGAUUAUAAGUUUAAGUUACUUAAGG
RNAcentral lists this ribosomal RNA (383 nucleotides) under Cimex lectularius (bed bug). RNAcentral's name for it is "partial 16S ribosomal RNA". The stretch from base 1 to 146 matches the Rfam family "Eukaryotic large subunit ribosomal RNA", at positions 2171 to 2351 of the family's 3401-position model. The record is from RNAcentral. Lineage: Eukaryota; Metazoa; Arthropoda; Insecta; Hemiptera; Cimicidae.